This 75-nucleotide transfer RNA is filed under the name Thermothielavioides terrestris NRRL 8126. Its description in RNAcentral is "tRNA-Asn (GTT) (tRNA-Asn-GTT-3-1)". It matches the Rfam family "tRNA". Rfam says of the family: Transfer RNA (tRNA) molecules are approximately 80 nucleotides in length. Their secondary structure includes four short double-helical elements and three loops (D, anti-codon, and T loops). The record is from RNAcentral. Lineage: Eukaryota; Fungi; Ascomycota; Sordariomycetes; Sordariales; Chaetomiaceae.
UCCCCCAUAGCGCAGUUGGUUUAGCGCGUCCGACUGUUAAUCGGGAGGUCGACAGUUCAAGCCUGUCUGGGGGAG